Long non-coding RNA from Nyctereutes procyonoides (raccoon dog), 1734 nucleotides. RefSeq lists it as uncharacterized. The record is from RefSeq and is a predicted model, not a curated record. Lineage: Eukaryota; Metazoa; Chordata; Mammalia; Carnivora; Canidae. The transcript is spliced from 2 exons.
UGGCCUUGAGCUGGCUCUUAUUUCAGAGGGAGGCCUUACUGCCUCAAGGAGCCAUGCAAAAUGCCAAAACCCCAUAGCUCUUGGAGUGUCCUCAAUUCUCUCUUCCCUGCUGAGGGGACCCACACUGUGUGACCCUGAGCAAGUCACCUCACCUCCCUAGGGUCCUGACCUGUAAGAUCUUUGCAGAUGUAGCUGGUCGAGAUGAGAUCAUACCGGAUCAAGAUGGGUCCUAAAUCCAUUGACUGGUGUCCUCAUCAGAGAUAGUCACACAUAAAAGAAAGAACACGAGGUGAAGACAGAGGAAGAAACUGGAGAGGUUCAUCUACGAGCCAAGGAAAGCCAAGGACUGCCAGCCAUCACCAGAAGCUAAAGAGACAAGGCAUGGAACAUUCUCUUGCAGAGCUCUGCUGACAGACCCUGCUGACACCUGGGUUUCACCUGGAUUUCACUUUUAGCUUCUGAAACAGUGACAGAAUAAAUAUGUUAUUUAUAUGUUAUUAUAUGUUAACCCAAUCUGGUUAGGUGAUUUCCUAUGGCAGCCCCCAAAAACUAAAACACUAGUCAAGAGGCCUUGGUGGCUGUUAAGCAUCUGCCUUCGGCUCAGGUCAUGAUCCCAGGGUCCUAGGAUCAAGCCCUGCAUCAGGCUCUCUACUCAGCGGGGGUCUACUUGUCCCUCUCCCAUUCCCCCUGCUUGUGCUCUGUCUCAAAUAAAACCUUAAAAAAUAAAAACAAAAAAGAGGGUUUUUUUGUUUUGACCUCUGGCCUUUUGUGAAGCUGAGAUCUGGAUCAAUUUCUACAGGGACAGAUACGAUAAUAAGUUUUACCCAACUUCCUUUGGGGCCCCCCUUCAAAAGACAUCCUCCUGUGACAGAAUAUAGAAUUUGCCCUAAGCGUGCCUGUCCCCAGCUUCAGACUCACAGGGAAGUAUCUACCAAAAUGUGCUCUCCUCCAAUGAUUGCAGCUCUGUCGCCAGACAUGCCAACCUUCCCACUGCUGUUUGGGGCCUGCUCACCAUUCUAAUUCCAGUGACUGCCACCUCCCCAAUCCCCUGGAGAUCCUUCAACUGCUCUGGUCCUUUCUUGCCUCCCUUGGCCACCAACUACUCAGCAGCCUGAAGGACCUUUGCAAGUUACAGAUCUAACUCUUGUCACUUUGAUCGAGAGCCUUCUGCAGCCUUCUGUGCUCAUGAGUCAAGUUUGAGCACUUCUGUCAGCCAUAGGACAUGGAUUCACCAUUGCAGAUGCAGCUCACAGCAGGCUCUCCCCAGUUCCCUCUCUCUGAGGAAUUAAGAUCCUGCCUCAUGUGUCUUUCCUCUCCCUUGGACACCAAGUGGACAGGGAGAGCAAAAGAGCAUCACAGCACCUGCUUUUGCAGGAGCAUGACAACAGUGUUCUGGAAGGUACACACACACUCACACACAAACCCUCCAAAAGACAAAAGUACUCUGCAAUUAUGUCUGGGGACAUGAACUGGGAUGAAGAAAAGAGUCAAGACUUGACAAAUCCAAUCUCGAUGGUUAGACCCAAUGUGCCAGCUACAGGGUUAAGAGCUGGGGGGUCUGAACACAGAACACAGCACAUAGCCACUUACUGGAAAAAAAAAAAAAAAGAAGUCAACUUUAAUUAUAACUGACCAAACUGCGUCCAGGAAUGUCUCCAAACUGAACAAAAGAAACACGAUAAAAUUCUCUAUUGAAGAAACCAAGUUUUUGCCAACCCCAGGCGUCUGAGGGUU